RNAcentral lists this small nuclear RNA (101 nucleotides) under Vombatus ursinus (common wombat). Lineage: Eukaryota; Metazoa; Chordata; Mammalia; Diprotodontia; Vombatidae. The record is from RNAcentral.
UGCUUGUUUUGGCAGCAAUAAAAUAAAAUUGUACCGAUAAAGAGAAGAUUAGCGUGGCCCCUGCCCAAGAAUGACUCAAAUUUGUGGAGUUCUCUAUUUUC